AAUAUUGGACAAUGGGGGCAACCCUGAUCCAGCCAUGCCGCGUGUUUGAAGAAGGUCUUCGGAUUGUAAAGCAUGUUAUGGUGGGAGGAAGGGCUUGAGAUUAAUACCCUGAAAUUUUCACGUUCCCAACCUUAGAAGUCCCGGCUAACUCUAUGCCAGCAGCCGCGGUAAUACAGAGGGUGCAAGCGUUAAUCGGAAUUACUGGGCGCAAAGCGAGCGUAGGUGGUUCAGUAAGAUGGGUGUGAAAUCCCCGGGCUUAACCUGGGAACUGCUUUCAUAACUGCUGAGCUAGAGUACGGUAGAGGGUAGUGGAAUUUCCUGUGUAGCGGUGAAAUGCGUAGAUAUAGGAAGGAACACCAGUGGCGAAGGCGACUACCUGGACUGAUACUGACACUGAGGUGCGAAAGCGUGGGGAGCAAAC
This 421-nucleotide ribosomal RNA is filed under the name uncultured bacterium. RNAcentral describes it as "partial 16S ribosomal RNA". It matches the Rfam family "Bacterial small subunit ribosomal RNA", at positions 360 to 773 of the family's 1533-position model. The record is from RNAcentral.